CAAGCAGGUCUGCAAUUGCAGCACUCGGUUUCAGUAGAGUGCUGUCAUUAACCCUGCUGAGAGCAUGUUUUGGCUUGAGAGCUCAAACUCCU
Molecule: small nucleolar RNA, 92 nt
Filed under: Mola mola (ocean sunfish)
Lineage: Eukaryota; Metazoa; Chordata; Actinopteri; Tetraodontiformes; Molidae
Description: Small nucleolar RNA SNORA69 (ENSMMOG00000004180.1)
Source: RNAcentral